CCCAAUUACAAUCCAGAAAGACACCUCCCGCCUUCACGGGAUCAGAUGGGAGCAGAUCAAGGAGAUAGUGGUGGUCGUCGCGGUAGCUCCACCUCUUCAACUCUUCCUGAACCCUCUACCAAGUACUAGCUACACUUGAUAUGGGAGGUAAUGAUUCAUUGAACUUAGAUUUCUUCUUACGGUUGUGAUGGCUGUUGUCUAAUUAUGAUAUGCUUGGAUCCCUAGAAAAUUUUUCAUUUGAUUCAAAAUUUUCUUUUCCUUCAGUUGACGGAAAGGGAGAAAGGGAGAAAGGGAGAUGGGGAGACAGGGAGAAAGGGAGAAAGACGAUCGGCUGGUAAACUUUUAAGAAGUUUGUAUUUCCAUUUAUGCAGAAAAAGUUGUAGUAUUUUUGCUUUUGCAUGCUUCGUUUAGAGACUGGAAUGGAUCAGUGGGUAUGAGAUUGAAUGGAUCUUGAUUUCUUGAUUUCUUUUUAAGUGGAAAUGUUGAUCAAUAUGAAGAUCAUAUCACAUACGCCUCUGUCCCUCUUGUAAUUGUGUGUCUGAAAGUCCUCACAAGCCCAUCAAUGGUCUCUUGCUGUAUAAUCCUGCACUUUGAAUACCAUUACAUUGAUUUCAACCAAAAAAAACCCAGAUUCUUUUCAAUUUUCUCCAUUAUGACUUCCAGACCUGAGAAUUUCCUCAGGCAGAAGGUGUGGUCCUCCACAGGUACUACCUUGAAAAUGCAAUUUCAAAGUGAAGUGACUCGGUUCAACGCAGCCUUUGAAUUGCCCCCACCUUUGUGGGGACGUGAGCAUCUACUACUCACUGAAUCACUGAGUCAGAAUUAUCUUUUCAAAUUUUAUUUUAUUUUAUUUUUCUCCAGACCAGCUGGAAAUAUCUACGGUUGGAUCUCAUUUUAUUUUUUUAAAGAGAAAAUCAAUUUAGAAGUUAUAAAUAGGAAGACCAUGGAAUCUUUCUCCGCCGUAGAAAAACGAAGGAAAAGUCUGGAUACAGCUGUAUCUGCCGUACAACUGCCCACUUCCUCAUGCAUUUUAGCACGUGCGAGGACUCAACCCUCUAGAAUGAUCUAUAUUCCAUGUACCUUAAUUUAGGUGAUAUUUGUUAAAACUAAAAAUUAAAUACUGAAUGUAUAAAUUAGUAUUAAUCAUUAUUUAUUUUGAACUAGGUAUAAAUAAAUCAUUGGAUCUUAGGGUUAUUCAUUGGGCAUUAAUCAUUUUGGUUAUUUAGCUAUUAUGAGAGUCGUAUGUGGAGGGUUUCGAUUAUAAGUCCUUCCUUGAUGAGGAAUGCUUGCGAAAUUUGCUUGGAUGGAUGUGUAAGACCGUUUUUAAUUAAUAAUGUCUCAUCAAUAUAACGAUGAUACUAAAAAACGUAUAUUUAAUACAUUAUGAUAGGAGAGGAUGACCCAUUAAAAUAACAUGACAAGUAGCGGUCUUAGAUUAAGAUUACCGCGUUAAUCAACCUUUUGCUUUAUCCUAACAUGAUUACGAUGUCAGCUAAUUACAUACUUGCUAAUGAACUAUUCGAAAGAGAGAAGGUAUGAGAGCGUGACCCAUUAAAAUGACAUGGCAAGUGGAGGCCUUAGAUUACCGCGUUUAGCCUUUUGCUUUAUGCAUUGAUUAUAAUGUCAAUCAAUUCCAUACUUGUUAAUGAAACUCUUUGAAAAAAGAAAAGUUAGGAGAAGAUGACUGUUGUUGUAGUAUGUGACUUAUAUUAAAUGAAAAACAUAUGAAGAAAAAUGGACAAAUAUCAGCGAUAUUUGUCAUGGUCAAUGUUUGUCAUGGACAAACAUUGAUUAUAAUUCAAUGUUUAUUUUCUCAUAAUACGAUUUAGGGAUAUUUUUAAAUUUUCAUUAUUUGAAGAUUAAUAUAAAUACCUUUUUAUAUAACCUAAUUCGAAAUAUAGUGAAAGUUUUCUUUUCAAGUCCUAGACUUUGGCAUGUAAGAAAAUAAAAAAGUGAACUAUUAAAAUGACAUGAGAAGUGGGGGCUUGGAUUGCUCCUUUUUGCUUUGUAAGAAAAUAAAAAAGUGACCUAUUAAAAUGAUAUGACAAGUGGGGGCCUUAGAUUGCUCAUUUUUGUUUUAUCCUAAUUACGAUGUCAGCGAAUGACAUACUUAUUAAUGAACUCUUUAGGGAAAGCUAGAAAUAUUUAUUUCAAAUUGAGGUUAUAUUUGUCCCUUUCACAAAGUAGGGUUGUUCCUCUCACCAUCAGGUGCAUCACCCAAUGCCCAAAUCCCAUGUAUGGUGGUUUUCACCGUCAAAAAAAGGACUCAAAAGCUGUCAUAUAUGGUCUAAUAUAAUAUUUUUAUAAAUAUUUGGGACUAAAUUAUGAAUUUAUGGUCCCACACGGCUUCAACUGUGGAUAGGUCUAUUCAUGCAAACAAAAAGACUGGUACUUUUGAUAAUGAUGACUUUGAUAUGAUUUUUGAUUUAUGGUUUGUUUUGCUUUGAGAAUGGUGGGUGUUGGGAAAUUGUUUUUUUAGCCGAACGAAAAUGAUUUUUCGGGCCUCUUAAAUGCCUUUUUCACAAUUUAUUAGAAUGCUUUUACCUUUUGUGAGGGAGAAAUACGCACUCGAUAGACUACAACAUUGGCUUUCAUCUAAAAAUGGUUAAAUCAAACUUUUAUAAAAUUAUUAAAGUAUUUAUUACAAUUUAGAAGUCUAAAAAUAAUGUUUUUUAAAUAAAAAUUAGUAUUUGACGAUAUUUAGAAAACACUUUUAAAAAUUAUUUAUAAUGUUAAAAAAUAAUUUAUAAUAAUUUUUGGAGAAAUAUUUGAUAAAUGAUUUUCUUUUAGUGAAUCAAAAUCGAUUUAUAAACAUUGAGAGUUUUUUUUUAAUAUUUUUUAAAAUUAGUGGGUCAAAAAUUAAUUUUCCUUUUUCUUAAAAACACUUUAAAAAAUUAUUUUUAUUAAAAAUGUUUUGAAUAAAUAUGAUGUUCUAUAAAAAUUAUAUCAAAAGUAUAUUUGGAAUAACCUUUUUAACUUUUAGGUUUAGUGGUUGAAAAAAGAUAAAAUAAAAAUAAUUAUUAUUGCUAAAGGAUUAAAUUUUAUAUUUAAUAAUUAUAUUUGAAGAGUACUUUUAUUAAAGAUUUUUAAAAAAUUAGUUAAAUAUGGAUUUGCUUCCUAUGUCUUUUUUUUUUUUUUAAGUAAAAAACAUAGAUUUUUUUUUGAAGUGUGAAUAUUUCUUAGCCAAGUGUGGGGCCAACCUAAACAAGACUUACAAAAAUAGAUAUUUGAAAUUUAAAUUUAUUAUUUAUAAAUCAUUAUUAAUAAAAUUAUAAUUUUUUGUUUAUCAUGAUUGCAUAGUUCAAAUGGAUUUAAUAAGAAAACUAAAAAAAAUACAACCGCUUUUUCACUUUUUCUGAAUUAUAUUUUAAAUUCAUUAUUCUUUCAAUUUAAAAUCUAACAAUUAUUAAGUUUACAUAUAACUAACUCACUUCUUAAAUAUAUUUCAAUGUGCUUUUAAGGUAAAAAAAAUUAAGUAUUAAAAUUUUUAUUAUUGAAUUACAAUGGUUGAAAGUAUUUCCAAAAAUUUAAAUUUUGAAUUUAAUUGUUUUAGUAAAGAAAAAAAGUUUAAAAAUUAAGUAGCGAAGGAUUUAAUUUUGAAUUAUAAUUGCUAAAACUAUCUUUUAAAAUUUUAAAAUUUAAUUUAAUUUUUUUGACAAAGGGAAAAAAGGUUUCAAAACCAUCCAUUGUUCUUGCCAUAUUCAGUCACUAUUUGCUCAAGAACUACAAAUACGAUGUGAUAAAUCCAAAUGUUGUAGUGUUGUAUAUAAUUCAUUUAAAAUAACCUAUUUAAAUAUUUUAGUAUGUUAAUAUAACACAUACGUAGUGUUUGGUAAAAAUUAAUAUUUAUUAUUUAAUGACUUAAAUUGAUUUUAAAUUAAAUUAUAUUUAAGUUAUUAAAUUAAAAAUUAUUACUUUAUUAUUAUUUUAAAUAUUAAGGUUAUUUGAUAAAAUUAACUUAAAAUUUAUUCUAAAUCAUCAAAUUCACAUAUUUAUAAUUAUAAAUCAUAAUUUUGGUAAGGGAAGUCAAAUAACAAUGAAGAUCGUGGAAUAGCGAAAAAUAUCAUGAAGAUAACUAGGGCAAAUUGUGAUAAAAAAAGUAAAAUGAAGAUGUAGAUUUAAGAAUAAUUUAAUUAUUUUUACUUAUUACCUAAAGUUAUUUUUUACUUUAAGUCAUGUCAUUAAGUUAUUUUAUUAGAUAUGCUUAAUUUACUUAAUGACUUAAAUUAAGUUAUUAAAUUAUUUUAAGUUAUUAAGUUGGUUUACCAAAUAUUUACUUAUCUUAUCAUAAAAGGUCCAAUACAUAAAUUUCAUGAAUUUAUUUAUUCAAUUUUAGUAAAACAAUUUUAAUUUUAUAUCUACAUAUUAUAAAAGAUGCAAAAUAAAGUUGAUAAUUAACCUAAAGUCUACAAAAUAUGCAAAAUUCAAUUCAAAAGCCAACAAAAUUAGACCCAAAGAGGCCAUCUUUAUCACUUUAGGGGUCGGGGGUAAAUGGGGAAGGAGGUAGGGAUGGUUAGGGGGUAGGCAUACAACCAAGUCAAAGUAGUUUAUAAUUGACUCUCAAAGGCAUUGUUAUCAUUUGAAUGAUAUAAGUCCAUGGCCUAUUUUUGGUUCACUCGAAACUUUAGCAACCAUCAUAAGAGGUGUGAUAUACAUGCACCCAUUUCAAGGGGGUGCAACACUUCUCAGUUUGGGCCUCAUAUUUACCUGAUAUGCCAUCGUUGUAUAGUGGCGCAAUGUUACAUGUGAAUCCACUUUGGGAGGACAUCAUACAAAAGUUGUACAAAUUAGGACUUUAGUAUGGUUCUAUUUUGUUCAUCUAAUUGGAGAUUAUGUUUUUUUUUGCUUUUUUUUUUUUAGCUUCUUAUCAUUCUUCCUUGACAUACGAUAAAGAUUGGAGAUGCAUGGAUCUCAAAAGGGAUGAGUUUUAGAUGGAAAGGGCUCUCUUUGAAGGAAGAUUCUUUAGUUUUGUAAGCUAAAAUAGCUAGUUAAAGGCAAAAUGUGAUAUCCCAUAUCAAAUAAGAGAAAAAAUUAUCGGUACUAUAUAUGUAUAAACUUAUUUUAAUCUUGUAAAAGCGUUUUAAAGUUGUGAAGACCUUUUUGGGUUUAGAACAAAUAAUAUCUACAUAAUUGAGUGUAAGUUGUUACUAAUAUUAUCAGAGUCAAUCUUCUACUCUGGUGUAAGGAUUUGUUUGGCCCGUGGGUGAACCUAUUAUUGUACCCUUUGUGCAAGACAACAUACACAUACAUGUCAUAUCGAAUAUGGAUCAUUAACAUGUAUGUCUAAAUUUGAUUGGUUGAAUGGACUAACAUAGAGAAGAGACAUAAAGAAAUCAAACCAAUAUCAAAAACAAAUAAAAAAAAAGUCACUAUUGAAAAAUAAAACCUAUAAAACAAGGGUAUUAUUUUUUAUAUUACUAAAAAAAACUCCUUGGAUUACCAAUGGGACGAGUUUUUUCGGGCACCCAUCCCGUCCCGUCCCUAAUGGGACGAGAUUCAAUUUUAAUAAACGGGUUUGAGAUUUAUUUUAAAAACCCAGGACGGAUUCGAAUAUUGCCUCGUCUCAUCUCGAUUAUAUAUAAAAUUAAUUUAAUUUAAUUUUUAUUUUACUAUUUUUAAUAUAUAGAUGAUAAUGAAAUAUUUUUAAUAAAAUAAAUUAUAAAAAAUAUAAUAAUUUAAUUAUUUAUAAAAUAUAUUUUAUUUUAAUAUAAUUAAAAAUUUUAAAAGUAAUUUAAAAAAAUUCAAAAAGAAAAGUUUAAUGGAUGGGAUAUGGAAUUUAUUAUAUUCAUCCAUCCUAUUUAAUUUUUUAAAUGGGAUGAGAACGAGAAUUAUUUUAAAUUAACGGCGGGGUUCGGAUGGGGGACUCGUACCCAUUCCUAGCUUUGCUUGCUUUCCCAUCCUUUGUUUCUAUGUGUGUCGAGAGGGUCAACAAAAUUGGAGCUUGGAAAUGCCAAUUUUACCCUAGAGCAAGCAUUAAACAGGUGGCGGUAGAAGCGUACAAGAGCCGGAAUCGUCUUCACCCAGAAAUUGCUUUAAGCCGUCUAAUGCCAAUUUUACCCUAAAGCAAGCAUUAAACACGUGCCGUUAGAAGCGUACAAAGCCGGAGUCGUCUUCACCAUUGGGAUCCAUAUCUUUCACUAGGCAGGACUUAGGAGUAUUGUGGGCGCCUAUUUUGGGAUAUAUAAAAUAGAAGAGAAAACACGUGAGGAAAAAUCACCCACUGGGAGUUAGGGAGUUAGUACCGUAACUGUAAUUAAUAACGGCGGUCCCCACAGAAUAUUCUGCCCUCAUCCGAGUUCAUUGUCUCACCAACUCAGUUGCUUGGAAGCCAAGUUUCCGAGUUCACCCUCCACUGCUUCGCUUACAUAUUCUUCUCUUCACUCCCCUCUCUUUCAGAGAUCCAGAGCUCAAUCUUGUGAUUUGGCUCUGUCUUUUGGGUUUUCGUUCUCUGUUUCUCCCUUCUUCUCCAAAGGGGUUCGCCUCUCGAUCCUCUGUUUCUUGGUUUCCAUCCCCUCUGUUCUUUACUCUUUACUCCCUACUCCUCCUCUCUACUCCCUCUUCUCUCUCUUCACUUGGGGAUCGCGAAGUUAAUCGUCGGAUUCGCUUUCUUCCUAGGGUUUCAAAAUUUCUAUCCCCUGUUUUUGGUGUCUUCUCCUCCUCACUCCAUUCAGUGGUUUUCUCUGUUUCCUGGGUUUCAUCCCCUGUUUUCCCCUAAUGCCAAUUUUACCCUAAAGCAAGCAUUAAACGCGUGCCGUUAGAAGCGUACAAAGCCGGAAUCGUUUUCACCAUUGGGAUCCAUAUCUUUCACUAGGCAGGACUUGGGAGUAUUGUGGGCUCCUCUUUUGGGACAUAUAUAGCGCACCAAACACCCUCGAGGAUCAUCCCCCGUUUCCAAAGGAUUCCACGCCUCAAUCCCUGUUUCUUUCUGCUCCGUUUCUUCAGCAAUGGAAACUGCAGUCUCCAGUAAUCCCAAUUACAAUCCAGGAAGACACCUCCCUCCUCAACAGAGAGGAGGGAUCAAAAAACAGAUAUUCAAAGACUUUCUCGAAUAUGUUAGUGCCAUCGCGCUUUUACUGGGCCAGAUGGAAGCAAAUCAAGGGGAUAGUGGCGGUCGUCGCCUUAGCUCCGCCUCCGCACCUCUUCCUGAAAUCCCUCCUGGCUACACUUCAGAUCUGAGGCGUUGAUUCAUUAAAUUAGAUUUGGCGAUGGUUGUCUUUUGAUAUAUGCUUGGAUGCCGAGAAAAUUUCACAUUUCAUUCCAAUUUCUCCCUUCCUUCAGUUUGACAGAUCUGAGGAAAGUCGAUCGACGAUCGACGAUCGGAAGCGUUAUGAUUGGGUACUGUCCUCCAUGCCUGUAUAUAAAUCCAGAAAUCUUCUUGUAGAAACUUUGUAUUUUCACUUUGUACAUACUUCGUUAAUAAAGUGGAAUGAAUCAAUCAAUGUAUUAUUUGUAGGACCCCUCCCUCUGGGAAACACGUGGCACGCACCUCACAGUGACACGUGGCACGUGUUAUCAGCCGGACCAUCAUCAUCCGGAUUCCCCUAAGGAUACGCAUGAUGAUGGUUCUCCUAUCCGGACCGCCUCAAGGAAAAGCAAAUGACGUUUCAAUUUCUCCUAUCCAAGGAAGAGCAAAUGUCCCUGGCAAAACAUAGACAUCCGGACAACCUUCAUAAUGCAUCCACUCCAUAAUACAUCCGGAUAAUCAGCAUGUAUCGUCCGGAUAUAAUCGUCCGGAUGAUCAAUUAAAGUAAAACGAGUCUCACACGCUAUCACAACGAACAGUCAUGGCCCACAUCCCAUCAUCUGCAGAGUGAGAAGACAAGAUGAAGUGACAGCAAGUCACUUCCCACGAUCAUUCUACAUAAUCACUUCUCACGAUCUCUAACAGCCGCAUCACCUACCAUGGUUUCUGACAGCCGUUCGUAGGGUGAUGAUGCUCCUACUGACGCCUAUUAUCAUCAUAACAACAUAAAAUAUCUUCUCACCAUUAAUGAGGAGAACAGUACCCCUGAAGCUGUAUAUAUAAAGCCUUCAGACAAAGAAGAAGGCGAUCCGCUGGUAACCUCCUGAUACCUAGUAAAAGGCCAACUGAUGUAUAUCUCUCUCUGACCAUGGCUAACAAAACCAUCAGAGGGUGCGUCCGGACACCCUGUCCGGAUGCCUUCUUGCAGGUAUAACGGCUGGAUCAAGAACCUUUAUGGGUUGAAAUCACGCGUCCAUCCAUCUGGCAACUACGUGGAUCAUCAAAGACGCGAGGUACCAACAUUAUUGAUUUCUGGAUUUCUGUGAUAUGAAAUGCGUCCAUGAAUUUGCAAAUGAAUCCGAAGAUCAUCUAUGCCACCGCCUCCUUCACUCUUCCAAAUUGUUUUCGCUUUAUAAUUGUGCAUAAUUCAGUUUUGAGCUGCCAAAAUCUCGUAGGGACACUUUCAAUUAUGCACUGAGUCAGUAUUGUCUUUUCAAAUUUUAUUUUAUUUUAUUUUUCUCCAGGCCAGCUGGAAAUAUCUCCGGUUGGAUUUCAUUUCAUUUUUUUUAAGAGAAAAUCAAUUUAGAAGUUAUAAAUAGGAAGACCAUGGAAUCUUCCUCCGCCGUAGACAAACGAGGGAAAAGUCUGGAUACAACUGUAUCUGCCGUACAACUACCUACUUCCUCAUGCAUUUUAGCACGUGCGAGAACUCAACCCUGUAGAAUGAUCUAUAUUCCAUGUACCUUAAUUUAGGUGAUAUUUGUUAAAACUAAAAAUUAAAUACUGAAUGUAUAAAUUAGUAUUUAUCAUUAUUUAUUUUGAAUUAGGUAUAAAUAAAUCAUUGGAUCUUAGGGUUAUUCAUUGGGCAUUAAUCAUUUUGGUUAUUUAGCUAUUAUGAGAGUUGUAUGUGGAGAGUUUCGACUAUAAGUCCUUCCUUGAUGAGGAAUGCUUGCGAAAUUUGUUUGAAUGAAUGUGUAAGACCAUUUUUAAUUAAGAAUGUCUCAUCAAUAUAACAAUGAUACUAAAAAACGUAUAUUUAAUACGUUAUGAUAGGAGAGGGUGACCCAUUAAAAUAACAUGACAAGUAGCGGUCUUAGAUUAAGAUUACCGCAUUUAUCAACCUUUUGCUUUAUCCUAACAUGAUUACGAUGUCAACCAAUUACAUACUUGCUAAUGAACUAUUCGAAAGAGAGAAGGUAUGAGAGCGUGACCCAUUAAAAUGACAUGGCAAGUAGAGGCCUUAGAUUACCGCGUUUAGCCUUUUGCUUUAUGCAUUGAUUAUAAUGUCAAUCAAUUACAUGUUAAUGAAACUCUUUGAAAAUGAAAAGUUAAGAGAGGAUGGUUGUUGUUGUAGUAUGUGGCUUAUAUCGAGUGAAAAACAUAUAGCGAAAAAUGGAUAAAUAUUAUAGCGGAGUAAUAUUUGUCAUGGUCAACGCCUUCCUCUUCUCACAAUAUGGUUUAUGGGUAUUUUUGAAAUUUCAUUUCUUAAAGAUUAAUAUAAAUACCUUUUUAUGUAAUCUUAAUUUGAGAUAUCGUGAAAUUUUUUUUUUCAAGUCCCUAUUAAAAUGACAUGACAAGUGGGGACCUUAGAUCACUCCUUUUUGCUUGAUCCUAGCAUGAUUACGAUGUUAGUCAAUUACAUACUUAUUAAUGAACUCUUUAAGGAAAGCUAGACAUAUUUAUUUCAAAUUGAGGCUAUAUUUGUCCCUUUUACAAAGUAGGGUUGUUUGUUACAUCAAGUGCAUCACCCAAUGCCCAAAUCCCAUGUAUGGUGGUUUUCACCGUCAAAAAAUGACUCAAAAGCUAUCAAUUUUUAUGAAUAUUUGGGACUAAAUUAUGAAUUUAUGGUCCCACGCGGCUUCAAAUGCGGAUAGGUCUAUUCAUGCAAACAAAAGGACUAGUACUUUUGAUAAUGAUGGCUUUGAUAUGAUUUCUGAUUUAUGGUUUGUUUUGCUUUGAGAAUGGUGGGUGGUGGGAAAUUGUUUUUUUAGCCGAACGAAAAUGAUUUUUCAGGCCUCUUAAAUGCCUUUUUCAUAAUUUAUUGGAAUGCUUUUAUCUUUUGUGAGGGAGAAAUACGCACUCGAUAGAUUACAACAUUGGCUUUCAUCUAAAAAUGGUUAAAUCAAACUUAUAAAAGUAUUAAAGUAUUUAUUACAAUUUAAAAGUCUAAAAAAAUGUUUUUUAAAUAAAAAUUAGUAUUUGACGAUAUUUAAAAAACACUUUUAAAAAUUAUUUAUAAUGUUAGAAAAUAAUUUAUAGUGAUUUUUGGAGAAAUAUUCUAUAAAUGAUUUUUUUUAAUGAAUCAAAAUCGAUUUAUAAAAGUUGAGAGUUUUUUUUUUAAUAUUUUUUUAAAUUAGUGAGUCAAAAAUUAAUUUUCCUUUUCUUAAAACACUUUAAAAAAUUAUUUUUAUUAAAAAUAUUUUGAAUAAAUAUGAUGUUCUAUAAAAAUUAUAUCAAAAGUAUAUUUGGAAUAACCUUUUUAACUUUUAGGUUUAGUGGUUGAAAAAAGAUAAAAUAAAAAUAAUUAUUAUUGCUAAAUGAUUAAAUUUUAUAUUUAAUAAUUAUAUUUGAAGAGUACUUUUAUUAAAAAAAAUUUAAAAAUUAGUUAAAUAUGGAUUUGCUUCCUAUGUCUUUUUUUUUUUUUAAGUGUGAAUAUUUCUUAGCCAAGUGUGGGGCCAACCUAAACAAGACUUACAAAAAUAGAUAUUUGAAAUUUAAAUUUAUUAUUUAUAAAUCAUUAUUAAUAAAAUUAUAAUUUUUUGUUUAUCAUGAUUGCAUAGUUCAAAUGGAUUUAAUAAGAAAACUAAAAAAAAAUACAACCACUUUUUCACUUUUUGUGAAUUAUAUUUUAAAUUCAUUAUUCUUUCAAUUUAAAAUCUAACAAUUAUUAGGUUUAUAUAUAACUAACUCACUUCUUAAAUAUAUUUCAAUGUGCUUUUAAGGUUAAAAAAAAAUUAAGUAUUAAAAUUUUUAUUAUUGAAUUACAAUGGUUGAAAGUAUUUCCAAAAAUUUAAAUUUUGAAUUUAAUUGUUUUAGUAAAGAAAAAAAGUUUAAAAAUUAAGUAGUGAAGGAUUUAAUUUUGAAUUAUAAUUGCUAAAACUAUCUUUUAAAAUUUAAAAUUUUCAUUUCAUUUAUUUGACAAAGGAAAAAAAGGUUUCAAAACCAUCCAUUAUUCUUGCCAUAUUCAGUCACUAUUUGCUUAAGAACUACAAAUACGAUGUGAUAAAUCCACAUGUUAUAUGUUGUAUAUAAUUAAUUUAAAAUAACUUAUUUAAAUUUUUUAGUAUGUUAAUAUAACACUUACGGGGUGUUUGGUAAAAAUUAAUAUUUAUUAUUUAAUGACUUAAAUUGAUUUUAAAUUAAAUUAUAUUUAAGUUGUUAACUUAAAAAUUAUUACUUUAUUAUCACUUUAAGUAUCAAGGUUAUUUGAUAAAAAUAACUUAAAAUUUAUUCUAAAUCAUCAAAUUGACAUAUUCAUAAUUAUAAAUUAUAAUUAUGGUAAGGGAAGUCAAAUAACAAUGAAGAUCGUGGAAUAGCGAAAAAUAUCAUGAAGAUAACUGGGGCAAAUUGUGAUAAAAAAAUAAAAUGAAGAUGUAGAUUUAAGAAUAAUUUAAUUAUUUUUACUUAUUACCUAAAGUUAUUUUUUACUUUAAGUAAUGUCAUUAAGUUAUUUUAUUAGAUAUGCUUAAUUUACUUAAUGACUUAAAUUAAAUUAUUAAAUUAUUUUAAGUUAUUAAGUUGGUUUACCAAAUAUUUACUUACCUUAUCAUAAAAGGUCCAAUACAUAAAUUUUAUGAAUUUAUUUAUUCAAUUUUAGUAAAAUAAUUUUAAUUUUAUAUCUACAUAUUAUAAAAGAUGCAAAAUAAAGUUGAUAAUUUAACCUAAAGUCUACAAAAGAUGCAAAAUCCAAUUCAAAAGCCAACAAAAUUAGACCCAAAGAGCCUAUCUUUACCACUUUAGGGGUUGUGGAUAAAUGGGGAAGGAGGUAGGGAUGGUUUGGGGGUAGGCAUACAACCAAGUCAAAGUAGUUUAUAAUUGACUCUCAAAGGCAUUGUUAUCAUUUGGUUGAUAUAGGUCCAUGGCCUAUUUUUGGUUCACUCGAAACUUUAGCAACCAUCAUAAAAGGUGUGAUAUACAUGCACCCAUUUCAAGGGGGUGCUACACUUCUCAGUUUGGGCCUCAAAUUUACUUGAUAUGCCAUCGUUGUAUAGUGGCGCAAUGUUAUAUGUGAAUCCACUUUGGGAGGACAUCAUACAAAAGUUGUACAAAUUAGGACUUUAGUAUAGUUCUAUUUUGUUCAUCUAAUUGGAGAUUAUGUUACUUUUUGCUCUCUUUUUUAGCUUCUUAUCAUUCUUCUUGGACAUACGAUAAAGAUUGAAGAUGCAUGAAUCUCAAAAGGGAUUGAGUUUUAGAUGAAAAUGGCUCUCUUUGAAGGAAGAUUCUUUAGUUUUGUAAGCUAAAAUAGCUAGUUAAAGACAAUAUGUAAUAUCCCACAUCAAAUAAGGGAGAAAGUUUUCGACACUAUAUAUGUAUAAACUUAUUUUAACCUUGUAAACACGUUUUAGCCAAUCUUUGAUCCUAGUAUAAGGGUUUGUUUGGCCCUAUAAGGGGUGUGUCUAUUUGACCCCAUAAUACCAUAGGACACAAUAAAAACGUUGUAUUUGCAUGAGGAGUGAUAGUAAUAUCAUAUAUCGGAUGAAGGAAAAAGUUUCUAACGCUAUAUAUGUAUGAGUUCCUCUUAAUCUUGUAAAUGGUUUUUAAAGCUGUGAGGAUCUCCUUGGGUUUAGAAUGAAUAAUAUAUAUACGAUUGGGUGUAAAUCAUUACAUCAAAGACUAUGUUUUCAUAAACUUUGAGUCAAAGAGAGGCAAAUGCAAUAGAUAGGCUUCGAUCAUCAAUGAAGCAAAGAUCCCACUUCACGUGACUAGAGAGGUAGAUAAUGAACCCACAAUACUUUCAAUGAAAGAGAAGGUAGUAAUUAACUAGGUUCACCCAAUUUGGACAAGAAAAUGAAUAGUUAGUGUAGAGUAGGUUUGCAUGUUGGGCAUUCUUGGAAUCAUUGAUUUCCUCUAUGUUGAUAGAUCCUUUAUAUUUGACUUGAUGAAAUCACACUAUUGAGUGAACUUCUUUUUUAUGUUCCUCUUAAAAUUCCUAAUGUCUUUUACUUCAAUCUAAAAUGUAUUUUUUCAAUCACUUUGUUAUCAUUAUGAAAGUACAAUGAGAGAGUGAUUAUGGACCAUCCUGAUCUACGAAACCUUAGUGGAAGAAGAGGAGGGUUCACAUCACUUGCCAUAGUAUUAAGCUUGGAACCAAUCUCUACUUCUCAACUAUCCAACUUAUUUCUCUCAUGCCCCUUCCAUAUAAUAUUUGUCAAGUUGACUUUCUUACUAAGUUACCAAAUAAGAUAAUUUGUAAAGUUCUACUAAGUUAUUAAAUAAGACAAUUUGUAAAGUUGCAUUACAAAGUAAUUGGAAAACAAAGAUAUGGGUGAACCUACUAUAGUACCUUUUGUGCAAGACAACAUACACAUGCAUAUCAUAUCGAAUAUGAAUCUUUAAUAUGUAUGUCUAAAUUUGAGUGGUUGAAUGGACUACAUAGAAAAGAGAGAGAGACUAAGACAUAAAGAAAUCAAACCAAUAUUAAAAAAAAAAAUUAAAAUUUAAAAUCUCUAUUAAAAAAUAAAACCUAUAAAACAAGGGUAUUAUUUUUUAUACUGCUGAAAAAAGCUCCUUGGAUUACCUUUGCUUUGCUUGCUUUCCCAUCCUUUGUUUCUAUGUGUGUCGAGAGGGUCAACAAAAUUGGAGCUUGGAAAUGCCAAUUUUACCCUAGAGCAAGCAUUAAACAGGUGGCGGUAGAAGCGUACAAGAACCGGAAUCGUCUUCACCCAGAAAUUGCUUUAAGCCACCUAAUGCCAAUUUUACCCUAAAGCAAGCAUUAAACACGUGCCGUUAGAAGCGUACAAAGCCGGAGUCGUCUUCACCAUUGGGAUCCAUAUCUUUCACUAGGCAGGACUUAGGACUAUUGUGGGCGCCUAUUUUGGGAUAUAUAAAAUAGAAGAGAAAACACGUGAGGAAAAAUCACCCACUGGGAGUUAGGGAGUUAGUACCGUAACUGUAAUUAAUAACGGCGGUCCCAACAGAAUAUUCUGCCCUCAUCCGAGUUCAUUGUCUCACCAACUCAGUUGCUUGGAAGCCAAGUUUCCGAGUUCACCCCCCACUGCUUCGCCUACAUAUUCUUCUCUUCACUCCCCUCUCUUUCAGAGAUCCAGAGCUCAAUCUUGUGAUUUGGCUCUUUCUUUUGGGUUUUCGUUCUCUGUUUCUCCCUUCUUCUUCUCCAAAGGGGUUCGCCUCUCGAUCCUCUGUUUCUUGGUUUCCAUCCCCUCUGUUCUUUACUCUUUACUCCCUACUCCUCCUCUCUACGCCCUCUUCUCUAUCUUCACCAGGGGAUCGCGAAGUUAAUCGUCGGAUUCGCUUUCUUCCUGGGGUUUCAAAUUUUCUAUCCCCUGUUUUUGGUGUCUUCUCCUCCUCACUCCAUUGAGUGGUUUUCUCUGUUUCCUGGGUUACAUCCCCUGUUUUCCCCUAAUGCCAAUUUUACCCUAAAGCAAGCAUUAAACGCGUGCCGUUAGAAGCGUACAAAGCCGGAAUCGUCUUCACCAUUGGGAUCCAUAUCUUUCACUAGGCAGGACUUAGGAGUAUUGUGGGCGCCUGUUUUGGGACAUAUAUAGCGCACCAAACACCCUCGAGGAUCAUCCCCCGUUUCCAAAGGAUUCCACGCCUCAAUCCCUGUUUCUUUCUGCUCUGUUUCUUCAGCAAUGGAAACUGCAGUCUCCAGUAAUCCCAAUUACAAUCCAGGAAGACACCUCCCUCCUCGACAGAGAGGAGGGAUCAAAAAACAGAUAUUCAAAGACUUUCUUAAAUAUGUUAGUGCCAUCGCGCUUUUACUGGGCCAGAUGGAAGCAAAUCAAGGGGAUAGUGGCGGUCGUCGCCUUAGCUCCGCCUCCGCACCUCUUCCUGAAAUCCCUCCUGGCUACACUUCAGAUCUGAGGCGUUGAUUCAUUAAAUUAGAUUUGGCGAUGGUUGUCUUUUGAUAUAUGCUUGGAUGCCGAGAAAAUUUCACAUGUCAUUCCAAUUUCUCCCUUCCUUCAGUUUGACAGAACUGAGGAAAGGCGAUCGACGAUCGACGAUCGGAAACGUUAUGAUUGGGUACUGUCCUCCAUGCCUGUGUAUAUAAAUCCAGAAAUCUUCUUGUAGAAACUUUGUAUUUUCACUUUGUACAUACUUCGUUAAUAAAGUGGAAUGAAUCAAUCAAUGUAUUAUUGAUUUCUGGACUUCUGUGAUAUGAAAUGCGUCCAUGAAUUUGCAAAUGAAUCCGAAGAUCAUCUAUGCCACCGCCUCCUUCACUCUUCCAAAUUGUUUUCGCUUUAUAAUUGUGCAUAAUUCAGUUUUGAGCUGCCGUUGGUUGCCAAAAUCUCGUAGGGACACUUUCAAUUAUUCACUGAAUCAUCCAUGGUUCUUGCUAUCUCAGAUUGAAUUUUUUUUUCCCUUUUAGGGAAAUGCAUUUAUGUUUCUUAAAUUCUUUUGCAUAUAGGUUAAAGAUUUAUUUAUUUUCAAUUAGAAGUGUAAUGACUCCGAAGUUCCUUCCAAAUAUCUGGAACCCAACUGAAAAUUGCAAUGUUUGGAGAAUAAAACCCCAUCUAACUGGGGGAAUUUUCGUGGAAGAUUAAAAAAUAAAUAAAUUUUUGAAAUUUUUUUAAAUAUAUAUAUAUAAAAUGAAAUCCAAGUUGCGAAAUUCAGCCUUCUAGAAUGAUAUUUCUUUGUUGUUAAGUAAAGUAUAAAAUGGGUUGUAACUGGAUUUUUUUUACUUCGGAAGAUGACGAACAACAUGUGUCAUAAUAAAAAAAGACCCUCUUGUCCUUUGUGGUUGAAUCCUGUUGGGGGCUGAGUUCAGUCCAUCCCAAUCAUAAGUUGUCUUUUUGGGAAAUCCAAAGAAAAUUUAUAACUUUACGUUAAAAGUAAAAAAAUUAAAAACCAACAAUUCUCUUCUCUUUGAAUGUAGGCACUUUAAAUAAGGCUUCUCUGGAGACUUUAAGUUAAUGAAGACAAAGAAUAUAGAAGUUAAAUGAUCAAAGCUAAAUUAAUUUUACAUUCCUACACACCCUACAAACACAAUGGUCACGGCUCAUAAAUUUUUUUUCCCAAAUUGAAGAGUAUAAUAAUUUUUAUAAAAUUUUCCAAGCGAGGGAAUUUGAUUCAAAAAGCGGUGAUUAAUGAAAAAGGAUCAUAUAACAAAAAAAAAAAAAGUCAAUUUAUUAGUGCCUUGAGUAAAAUAUUUCAAUUUGAAGAGAAAACACGUGAGGAAAAAUCACCCACUGGGAAGUUAGGGAGUUAGGGAGUUAGUACCGUAACUGUAAUGAAUUACGGCGGUCCACACAGAAUAUUCUGCCCUCAUGACUCAUCCGAGUUCAUUGUCUCACCAAGUCAGUUGCUUGGAAGCCAAGUUUCCGAGUUCAGCCCACUGCUUGGCCUACAUAUUCUUCUCUUCACUCACCUCUCUUUCAGAGAUCCACAGCUCAAUCUUGUGAUUUUGCUCUUUCUUUUGGGUUUUCGUUCUCCAUUUCUCCCUUCUUCUCCGAAGGGGUUCGCCUCUCGAUCCUCUGUUCUUUACUCUUUACUCCCUACUUCUCCUCUCUACGCCCUCUUCUCUCUCUUCACCGAGGGAUCGCGAAGUUAAUCGUCGGAUUCGCUUUCUUCCUGGGGUUUCAAAAUUUCUAUCCCCUGUUUUUGGUGUCUUCUCCUCCUCACUCCAUUCAGUGGUUUUCUAUGUUUCCUGGGUUUCAUCCCCUGUUUUCCCCUAAUGCCAAUUUUACCCUAAAGCAAGCAUUAAACGCGUGCCGUUAGAAUCGUACAAAGCCAGAAUCGUCUUCACCAUUGGGAUCCAUAUCUUUCACUAGGCAGGACUUAGGAGUAUUGUGGGCGCCUGUUUUGGGAUAUAUAUAGCGCACCAAACACCCUCGAGGAUCAUCCCCCAUUUCCAAAGGAUUCCACGCCUCAAUCCCUGUUUCUUUCUGCUCUGUUUCUUCAGCAAUGGAAACUGCAGUCUCCAGUAAUCCCAAUUACAAUCCAGGAAGACACCUCCCUCCUCAACAGAGAGGAGGGAUCAAAAAACAGAUAUUCAGAGACUUUCUCAAAUAUGUUAGUGCCAUCGCGCUUUUACUGGGCCAGAUGGAAGCAAAUCAAGGGGAUAGUGGCGGCCGUCGCGUUAGCUCCGCCUCCGCACCUCUUCCUGAAAUCCCUACUGGCUACACUUCAGAUCUGAGGCGUUGAUUCGUUAAUUAGAUUUGGCGAUGGCUGUCUUUUGAUAUAUGCUUGGAUGCCGAGAAAAUUUCACAUUUCAUUCCAAUUUCAUUCCAAUUUCUCCCUUCCUUCAGUUUGACAGAACUGAGGAAAGUCGAUCGACGAUCGACGAUCGGAAGCGUUAUGAUUGGGUACUGUCCUCCCCUGUAUAUAAAUCCAGAAAUCUUCUUGUAGAAACUUUGUACUUUCACUUUGUACAUACUUCGUUAAUAAAGUGGAAUGAAUCAAUCAAUGUAUUAUUGAUUUCUGGAUUACUGUGAUAUGAAAUGCGUCCAUGAAUUUGCAAAUGAAUCCGAAGAUCAUCUAUGCCACCGCCUCCUUCACUCUUCCAAAUUGUUUUCGCUUUAUAAUUGUGCAUAAUUCAGUUUUGUGCUGCCGUUGGUUGCCAAAAUCUCGUAGGGACACUUUCAAUUAUGCACUGAAUCAUCCAUGGAAUCCACCAAACCGGCAAUUCCUAUACAUGGUUCUUGCUAUCUCAGAUUGAAAUUUUUUUUUUCCCUUUGAGGGAAAUGCAUUUAUGUUUCUUAAAUUCUUUUGCAUAUAGGUUAAAGAUUUAUUUAUUUUCAAUUAGAAGUGUAAUGACUCCGAAGUUCCUUCCAAGUAUCUGGAACCCAACUGAAAAUUGCAAUGUUUGGAGAAUAAAAUCGCAUCUAACUGGGGGAAUUUUCGUGGAAGAUUAAAAAAUAAAUAAAAUUUUGAAUUUUUUUAAUAUAUGUAUAUAUAUAUAUAUAUAAAAUGAAACCCACGUUGCGAAAUUCAGCCUUCUAGAAUGAUAUUUCUUUGUUGUUAAGUAAAGUAUAAAAUGGGUUGUAACUGGAAAUGUUAUUUUAUUUUAUUUUUAUAGGCGUUACUCAUUUUUAUUUUAUUUUUUUUUACUUCAGAAGAUGACGAACAACAUGUGUCAUAAUAAAAAUACCCUUUUGUCCUUUGUGGUUGAAUCCUGUUGGGGGCUGAGUUCAGUCCAUCCCAAUCAUAAGUUGUCUUUUUGGGAAAUCCAAAGAAAAUUUAAAACUUUAUGUUAAAGUAAAAAAAUUAAAAACCAACAAUUCUCUUCUCUUUGAAUGUCGGCAUUUUAAAUGAGGCUUCUCUCGUGACUUUAAGUUAAUGAAGACAAAGAAUAUAGAAGUUAAAUGAUCAAAGCUAAAUUAAUUUUACAUUCCUACACACCCUACAAAACAAUGGUCACGGCUCUUAAAUUUUUUUUCCCAAAUUGAAGGGUAUAUUAAUUUUUAAAAUUUUUUCCAAGUGAGGGAAUUUGAUUCAAAAAGCGGU
Molecule: long non-coding RNA, 18586 nt
Filed under: Vitis vinifera (wine grape)
Lineage: Eukaryota; Viridiplantae; Streptophyta; Magnoliopsida; Vitales; Vitaceae
Description: long non-coding RNA (VVIN_LNC001714)
Source: RNAcentral